This 301-nucleotide ribosomal RNA is filed under the name uncultured bacterium. RNAcentral describes it as "partial 16S ribosomal RNA". It matches the Rfam family "Bacterial small subunit ribosomal RNA", at positions 509 to 809 of the family's 1533-position model. The record is from RNAcentral.
CAGCAGCCACGGGAAAACGUAGGGCGCAAGCGUUGUCCGGAAUUAUUGGGCGUAAAGAGCUCGUAGGCGGUCUGUCGCGUCUGGUGUGAAAUCCCGAGGCUCAACCUCGGGCUUGCAUCGGGUACGGGCAGACUAGAGUGCGGUAGGGGAGACUGGAAUUCCUGGUGUAGCGGUGGAAUGCGCAGAUAUCAGGAGGAACACCGAUGGCGAAGGCAGGUCUCUGGGCCGCAACUGACGCUGAGGAGCGAAAGCAUGGGGAGCGAACAGGAUUAGAGACCCCCGUAGUCCCUGUCUCUUAUAA